Molecule: ribosomal RNA, 449 nt
Filed under: uncultured bacterium
Lineage: Bacteria
Description: partial 16S ribosomal RNA
Rfam family: Bacterial small subunit ribosomal RNA
Source: RNAcentral
AGCGAACGCUGGCGGCAGGCCUAACACAUGCAAGUCGAACGAAGCCUUCGGGCUUAGUGGCGGACGGGUGAGUAACACGUGGGAACGUACCUUUUGGUUCGGAACAACUCAGGGAAACUUGAGCUAAUACCGGAUGAGCCCUUAGGGGGAAAGAUUUAUCGCCGAAAGAGCGGCCCGCGUUAGAUUAGCUAGUUGGUGAGGUAAAGGCUCACCAAGGCAACGAUCUAUAGCUGGUCUGAGAGGAUGAUCAGCCACACUGGGACUGAGACACGGCCCAGACUCCUACGGGAGGCAGCAGUGGGGAAUCUUGCGCAAUGGGCGAAAGCCUGACGCAGCCAUGCCGCGUGAAUGAUGAAGGUCUUAGGAUUGUAAAAUUCUUUUACCAGGGACGAUAAUGACGGUACCUGGAGAAAAAGCCCCGGCUAACUUCGUGCCAGCCGCCGCGGUAA